UAAACUUGACCUGUCUGGCACCCUGUCUAUAUUUUCUCAGUGACGGGUGUGCCCGAAAGUUCGAGUGAGA
Non-coding RNA from Angomonas deanei, 70 nucleotides. The record is from the annotation of a GenBank genome assembly. NCBI's taxonomy places the organism in Eukaryota, Euglenozoa, Kinetoplastea, Trypanosomatida, Trypanosomatidae.